ACAAUAUGAUAAUAGUGUUAUACUCCCAUAAAAGUAACAAUAUAAUUAAAGUUUGUCUAAGCAAUACAUGAUGAUUAUCACUUUAAUCCCCUGUCUAAUGACAAUACUUAACAGUUCCCUUUUUAGUUAAUCUUAAAAAUGCCAAUGGGUUAACAAAAAAAACUUUUAAAUUAAUAUUAAAAGAAUCCGUCGAUUGAGUCUUAAUUCGAUUGGUAUUAAUACUAUUGCUAGUGUAGAAGACCAAAUUUGCUGGGCCCAUUGUCCAGAAAAUACAAAUAGCAACCCAAUAAACCCGAAGCCCAACUACCCCAGCCCAUUAACC
RNAcentral lists this long non-coding RNA (322 nucleotides) under Gossypium barbadense (sea-island cotton). Its description in RNAcentral is "long non-coding RNA (GBAR_LNC016102)". Lineage: Eukaryota; Viridiplantae; Streptophyta; Magnoliopsida; Malvales; Malvaceae. The record is from RNAcentral.